ACGACCUUACUUGAACAGGAUCUGUUCUAUAGGAUCGUACCUCUGUAUCCUUUAACCACAAAGGAGACAGGAACUCAAGUCUGGAAGAUGAAUAAAGACCUGUUUGAUCAGAGCGUGAUUAACGGUCGAGUAUGCUCUCGGGCUUGCAACGCUGUAGAGGAUCGUCCCCAUUCAUAUUUGAAUAGGGUGGUCAUACGGUUGUCUGACAGACU
This is a non-coding RNA of Ricinus communis (castor bean), 212 nucleotides long. Lineage: Eukaryota; Viridiplantae; Streptophyta; Magnoliopsida; Malpighiales; Euphorbiaceae. The record is from Rfam.